This 1365-nucleotide long non-coding RNA is filed under the name Ovis aries (sheep). RNAcentral's name for it is "lncRNA (ENSOARG00000027008.1)". The record is from RNAcentral. Lineage: Eukaryota; Metazoa; Chordata; Mammalia; Artiodactyla; Bovidae.
AUUGAGUGCAGCACUUUCACAGCAUCAUCUUUCAGGAUUUGAAAUAGCUCAACUGGAAUUCCAUCACCUCCACUAGCUUUGUUCGUAGUGAUGCUUUCUAAGGCCCACUUGACUUCACAUUCUAGGAUGUCUGGCUCUAGAUGAGUGAUCACACCAUCGUGAUUAUCCGGGUCUUGAAGAUCCUUUUUGUACAGUUCUGUGUAUUCUUGCCACCUCUUCUUAAUAUCUUCUGCUUCUGUUAGGUCCAGACCAUUUCUGUCCUUUAUCGUGCCAAAGCUGGAUUUAAAUAGAAACUCAACCAUAAAUGCACUAAAAGGUAACUCCUUCCAUGAAGCAUGAGAUAGGUAUAGAGGUCAGCUGAGGUUACUCUACUGGAGGCUUACUCAUUUAUUCAGCAAAUGUUGGGUGCCUAGUUCUCUGGUGGCCACUAGGAAUACAGUGGUAAAUAAGACAAAUGAAGUUCCUGCCCUCCUAGAAUAUACAGCCUAGUAGAAUAGGCAGGUAAGAAGCAAAUAACUACAUCAUUGAAUGACACUUUAAAUGGAAAGGUAGAAUGGGCUGGGCUGGUCAGAGAAAGCCUCUCUUAGAGAAAACCAUGUUUAAGCUGAGCCACACAGUCUGAACACAAAGUAACCAAGAGAAGCAGGUUUGGGGACCAGUUUAUUCAGAGAGAACAGCAGGGUGUAGGCACCUUUAGAGCAAUAUACUCAGUUCUGUCAUGACUAAAUAUGCCUAAACUUUUACGGCAGAUGCAACCUGUUUUAACCUCCAAGACAGAUGUGGUGUUAUACUGAUAAUAGAUUCAUUAUUUAAUAAACCAAAGGGAACGGUUGUACAUAGCAGAGGGAACAGUUUGAAAAGCCACUUACAGUUGUCAUCAAGUUCCAGGUAUGCUGAAAGACAGUAAACAGCUAAUCUCAUCUCUAUUGUUGUUUAGUCACUAAGUCACAUCCAACUCUUUGUGACUUCAUGGAUUGCAGCCUAUCAGGCUUCUCUGUCCAUGGGAUUUCUCCAGGCAAGAAUAUUGGAGUGGGUUGCCAUUUCCUUCUCCAGGGAAUCUUUCUGACCCAGAGAUCGAACUUGCGUCUCCUGAAUUGGCAGGGGGAUUCUUUACCACUGAGCCACCAGGGGAGCCCAAUCUCAUCUCUACUGUAUCCUAGAAUUACACUGUCCAAUAAGAAAACCAAGGCUGCGCCUGUAAUACAAGUGGACUUUCUCCAUUUAGCCUGGUACUUUCAACUGAAUAUAACGUGGUCCAGUAGAGAUAUCCACCAACUGAGUCCACCACCAUAUCAUUUACCAGCAACUUCACGUUCUCCAAGACUGAGCUCAUCUCCCUUGUCAGUAUCAACCAUCCAAAUGUGA